GUGAGGAAUUUUCCGCAAUGGGCGAAAGCUUGACGGAGCAAUGCCGCGUGAAGGAUGAAGGCCUAUGGGUUGUAAACUUCUUUUCUCAGAAAAGAAUUAUGACGGUAUCUGAGGAAUAAGCAUCGGCUAACUCUGUGCCAGCAGCCGCGGUAAGACAGAGGAUGCAAGCGUUAUCCGGAAUGAUUGGGCGUAAAGCGUCUGUAGGUUGUUUAAAAAGUAUUCUGUCAAAGAUUAGGGCUUAACCCUAGAUAGGCAGAAUAAACUUUUAAGCUAGAGUUUGGUAGAGGCAGAGGGAAUUCCCGGUGGAGCGGUGAAAUGCGUAGAUAUCGGGAGGAACACCAAAGGCGAAGGCACUCUGCUGGGCCAAUACUAACACUGAGAGACGAAAGCGAGGGGAGCAAAUGGGAUUAGAUACCCCUGUAGUCC
This 426-nucleotide ribosomal RNA is filed under the name uncultured bacterium. RNAcentral's name for it is "partial 16S ribosomal RNA". It matches the Rfam family "Bacterial small subunit ribosomal RNA", at positions 354 to 796 of the family's 1533-position model. The record is from RNAcentral.